UCCAUAGAUAGAGAGAAAGAGCGUGAGGGUGGAGACAGAUGCCUUUUUCCAACUAAACACAAUUUUUUUUUUGGUAAACCUUUCAUUUGAAGAAUGGGGUUCCUUGCGAGAGGAGGAAAUGUUUUUCUCUUGGAAAAAUAUAGAAAGAGAGCGUGAGAGAACUUUUUCCAACUUAAACUAAACACAAUUUUUUGUAAACCUCUCAUUUGAAGAAUGGGGUUCCUUGCAAGCGGAGGAAAUAUUUUUUCUCUUGAAGAAAAAAUAGAGAGAGAAAGAGUCCAUAACACACCAGACCUCGGAAUGCAACCACCACGUGGUCCACAGAUGGGCAAACCCCCACCGUAAAAUCUUCGAAACAAUACUUGACAACUCAUUUAUGGUUUUACACUUGUACAAAC
Onychostoma macrolepis is the source of this 398-nucleotide long non-coding RNA. RefSeq lists it as uncharacterized. The transcript has 3 exons. Lineage: Eukaryota; Metazoa; Chordata; Actinopteri; Cypriniformes; Cyprinidae. The record is from RefSeq and is a predicted model, not a curated record.